GCUGGGUGGGGUGGUGCACACCUGUAAUCCUAGCAACUGGGAGGCCGAGGCAGGAGGACCACAAGUUCUAGGCCAGCCUCAGCAACUUAGUAAGACCCUGACUCAA
RNAcentral lists this small RNA (106 nucleotides) under Marmota monax (woodchuck). Lineage: Eukaryota; Metazoa; Chordata; Mammalia; Rodentia; Sciuridae. The record is from RNAcentral.